RNAcentral lists this small RNA (3131 nucleotides) under Oryza sativa Japonica Group (Japanese rice). RNAcentral's name for it is "sRNA Os07g0223001". The record is from RNAcentral. Lineage: Eukaryota; Viridiplantae; Streptophyta; Magnoliopsida; Poales; Poaceae.
GGAGUAUCCAACACAACUUGACAAACCCUGUAAGUUGUCUUGCAAUUUUGUUUCAUGACGUGACUUUUGUCUCACUUGCAUCAAUGUUACCAAUUUCGUUGAGCAAGCUUGUUGUUAUCACAUUCUAAGUUGUCACUUGGUAGACCAGACUCAUCUUCACCCAAUGUUUUUUUUACCUAGAGAGGGCAAACCCUCCCAUUUCUAUUAAGAGAAAUUCAUAAACAGAAGAGUUUCCUGACUAAGCACCUAAUUUUAGCACAACCCCUCCUGCCUGAUGCCAUCCAAUCAGUUUUACAGGAGUUGCCUCCCUAGUACAUGCAUCAAGUAAAAUUGUUCCUUAUAACAUUAGAUGGAGUAUUUACACAAGCUAUAGAGACAACAGUACCUGUUCUAUUAGAGAGUAUACCUAAGUAGCAUUGAAUCUACAAAAAGAUGGCAAACCACGUAGUGCCACGAUCUGUAACUCCAGAUUCCUUUUAGCAAUCUGCAUAACAGUAACUGAUUAACUGACAAGAUGUUGGUGCUUCCAUUUCGUCAAAUGCAAAUGCGACUCUCCACUGCUUCCAUUUGAGUUCUCAGAUAUGGACUCAGCACUUGUCGUAGCUAGCUCGGAGAUUUUAUAUCACUUCUUUGCCAGACCACCAGUGCCCAUGACUUCUGUUGAGGAACACAGUGCUAGGGCUUGAACUUGAUUACUUCUCUAGAUAUCCUCAAUUCCUCAUAAUGUUAGGGCUUGAAUUUGAUCACUUCUCUAGCUAUCCUCAUGCAGAUCACAGAGAGAAUGGCCGUCAAUCAUGCCGGGAAAAACAACUGCUCAUCAUGGCUCAAUCAUACCGAGCAAAAUGGGUGCCCAUUGUCGCAUUAGGAGACUACUAAUAUUGUGUUCUUCUUAAUGGAACAUAAUGCUAAAAUUUUUGUCAUAUUUGCCUCAUGUUCCUGAUUGCGAUGCCCGUAGAGUGGCCAGGUUUGCAAGUUCUGAAAUUUCAUCAAAUUUCCUUUCUCUCAUCAAUUCUUUGUCGAAAAUAGCAUCAGAUAGCACCACUGCAGAUGCCCCUGCCUCCAAAUACCCCUUGAUUGAGUCUACAAUAAGCAAUUUUGCAACAGAUUGAGCGGCUUCAUAGAGCUAGUAUGUGUGCCUACUGUUUUUGUUUAAGCACUUCUUUCUAAAAAUGGAUGGGUGAUAAAACUUUUGUUUGUGGCUAGCUUAAGAUCCUUAGGUAUUCUGAAAAGAACAUUUGUAUGCGUUCUUAGCUAUAAAAUCUGAGAUAUUUAACAGAAACAUGGAGACAUUUAUGGAACUUUAUUAUAACUAUGGAUUAGCAGGUAACUUACCUAUGCUUAUUCCUUGAGAAGCGACCAUUGGUAGAAAAGGAAAUGGUUUCUUCAAAGCAAGCAUAUAGACCUCCCCACCCAUUACUGAAACUGGGUAGACCUAAUUUAAUUUUACCACAUAAGCCAAGAAAUUCCAAUUAGUCCUAUAAAUGCAGGCUGAAAACGAGUACAUCUAACUAAUUAAUCGGGAAUCAAAAGGGCAAAACAAAGUAACGCACAUGGGAAGGAAAAAAAAAGAUAGAAAUUGUCUAUUAAUUCUUUAUUUUUAAUGGUAUGACCUAUCAACCAAAACUAUAAAAAGAAAGGCAAAGCUACCUUAACGACUUCUGCUCCAGCAUUGGAAGCAGAUAUAACCUGUAAAAGUCGAAUAUAUCAGACACGUGGAAUUAAAAUAAGUUCAUCGUAAUGAUAUGAUCAGGACUCCUCAACAUACUUCAGUUGGUGUCAGCACUCCUGGAAUACACAGGACUUCACUUUCUUUAAGAGCAUGAAGUAUUUCCUUACACAAAUACAAUAUGCAAGAAUCAAUCAGCUUAGAUGUAUAAUGAUAAUAUGCAAGUAUUAAGUAGUGUGUCCCACUAAGUACAUCAAAGCACAGACUGAAAUUGGAUCAAACUUGCCAAAUUAAAUUCAUUAUGAAGCUAUAUAAACCAUUGACAUCAUGCAAGGUUGCAUCAACAAAUUGUAACAGAAGUGUGUAAGAAAGAUGUUAAAAGGAACAUCACGAUAUAAAUAUGGGAAAUAGGCACCUCUGCUAUUAGAAAAGAAACAAUUCUGCAAAUGUUCAUAAUACCUGUGCCACUUACCAUGACUGUACCAGGACUCAUGAGAAACUGUGCACCAGCUGUAAUGGCUUUCCUUGCAUCUUCAGGAUUCAAGACCGUGCCAACCUAAUAUAACACCAGGUUCAUAAAUACUAGAUAGUGCCAUCAGCGACUAAUGUGCUUGACAUUAAUAAAAAUAUUACGCAUUACAUUGUUAGCUCUGGUAUAGCAGGAUGUGACUACCACCUUCUAGAAACAAAUUAAUUGAGGAAUCACACACUUGCACCACACAGCUUGGUUGGAAGUAAAAAUAGUAAAGCGAGCAUAGCGGCAUACCUUUCAUCUCGAAACUAAGUAUAUCACAUCUUUAGUGAAAUGUUGAAAAUGAUCAAAGCAGUUAGUAUCAAGGAAACUAAAAAGUAAAAUGAAUACAUGAAUUCAGUGGUUCUGACAGACUGAAACAAUAGCUAGGCCCACAACCCGUGAUGCCAUGAGACACCUAUGCAGGCAAUGAAACAGAAACCUACGAAGUUAAUUAUGGCAGGGACUAACCCCAAAUGUCAAAGAAGGAUAACUUCUGCGAAGAUCACCAAUAACCUGCAACGAGAAGAUUUAUCAAUAUGAGAAGAUUUAUCGGUCUGUUUUAAAAUAGCAGGCAGCAAUGAUCAUGGCAGAAGGGCAAGCUUGCAGAAGAAUGGUGGAAAUGGCACCACCUCCAGCGCUCCAGGGGUGGACAUCACAAUCUCUAGCUGCAAAACAUAACACAUGCCUGUCAGAACCAGGGAUGAGCAAUGAAAAAGCAGUACAUUACUGACAUUGUCAGGCAAAAGCUUAGAUGGAUUGAUUCUCGCGACCACAAAAUCUAAGUGCGGGUCGCACAAGCUCUUGUGCGAAUAUGCAAGAAUCAUCCUUUGGAGCCUGAGGGCUCGGGACGUAUUGUACUAGGUGCCAGCCAACACAACUCACCACGGAGACGCCGCCGCGCACGGCCGCACGGGCCGCCUGCAUCGCCGUCUCCCCGCUGCAUGGAUGGGA